UACGUAGGGGGCAAGCGUUGUCCGGAUUUAUUGGGCGUAAAGCGCGUGUAGGCGGCUAGGUAGGUCCGCUGUGAAAACUUGAGGCUCAACCUCAAGAGGUCGGUGGAAACCAUCUGGCUAGAGUCCGGAAGAGGAGAAUGGAAUUCCUGGUGUAGCGGUGAAAUGCGUAGAUAUCUGGAGGAACACCGGUGGCGAAGGCGGCAUCCUGGACCGAUAUUGACGCUGAUGCGCGAAAGCCAGGGGAGCAAACGGG
This 253-nucleotide ribosomal RNA is filed under the name uncultured bacterium. RNAcentral describes it as "partial 16S ribosomal RNA". It matches the Rfam family "Bacterial small subunit ribosomal RNA", at positions 524 to 776 of the family's 1533-position model. The record is from RNAcentral.